This 492-nucleotide ribosomal RNA is filed under the name uncultured bacterium. Its description in RNAcentral is "partial 16S ribosomal RNA". It matches the Rfam family "Bacterial small subunit ribosomal RNA", at positions 29 to 507 of the family's 1533-position model. The record is from RNAcentral.
AGUGAACGCUGGCGGUAGGCCUAACACAUGCAAGUCGAACGGCAGCACAGUAAGAGCUUGCUCUUACGGGUGGCGAGUGGCGGACGGGUGAGGAAUACAUCGGAAUCUACUUUUUCGUGGGGGAUAACGUAGGGAAACUUACGCUAAUACCGCAUCCGACCUACGGGUGAAAGCAGGGGAUCUUCGGACCCUGCGCGAUUGAAUGAGCCGCUGUCGGAUUAGCUAGUUGGCGGGGUAAAGGCCCACCAAGGCGACGAUCCGUAGCUGGUCUGAGAGGAUGAUCAGCGACACUGGAACUGAGACACGGUCCAGACUCCUACGGGAGGCAGCAGUGGGGAAUAUUGGACAAUGGGCGGAAGCCUGAUCCAGCCAUACCGCGUGGGUGAAGAAGGCCUUCGGGUUGUAAAGCCCUUUUGUUGGGAAAGAAAAGCAGCAGGUUAAUACCCCGCUGUUCUGACGGUACCCAAAGAAUAAGCACCGGCUAACUUCGUG